Molecule: non-coding RNA, 150 nt
Organism: Podarcis lilfordi (Lilford's wall lizard)
Lineage: Eukaryota; Metazoa; Chordata; Lepidosauria; Squamata; Lacertidae
Source: the annotation of a GenBank genome assembly
GAUAUCAACAAAGGUAGGUUUGAGCAAACAAAGUGUCAGCGAUGUUACACACAAGAGUUAGACAGGGUGCCAGCGUUUGUCACCUGUUUCUAACUCUUGUGCGUAACAUCACCGACACUUCGUUUGAUCAAACUUAUCCUCGUUGAUAUC